UACGUAGGGCGCAAGCGUUUAUCCGGAAUUAUUGGGCGUAAAGAGCUCGUAGGCGGUUUGUCGCGUCUGCCGUGAAAGUCCGGGGCUCAACUCCGGAUCUGCGGUGGGUACGGGCAGACUAGAGUGAUGUAGGGGAGACUGGAAUUCCUGGUGGUAGCGGUGAAAUGCGCAGAUAUCAGGAGGAACACCGAUGGCGAAGGCAGGUCUCUGGGCAUUAACUGACGCUGAGGAGCGAAAGCAUGGGGAGCGAACAGG
This 255-nucleotide ribosomal RNA is filed under the name uncultured bacterium. Its description in RNAcentral is "partial 16S ribosomal RNA". It matches the Rfam family "Bacterial small subunit ribosomal RNA", at positions 524 to 776 of the family's 1533-position model. The record is from RNAcentral.